UACUGGUCAUCAUCUUCUUUCGCUCUCAAAGUAUUUCAGCUGUGCUAAAAGGGGAUGCCAUGCUGUGGAGUUGUGGAGUUGACAAAAGCUCUGGUUUGGUCUCCACCAACUCCCGAGAAAGAUGUCCAAAGACUACUGUAGCUGUUAGAUGGUCGGCUUUCUUCAGGAGCAAUAGUGUCUUUGUCUACUGUUUGGUCCUGGACAGAUCCUGGAGGAACAGGAAGUGUGUUUCCUACCUUCAAUUCUAUGCAGAGCGGGGCCAGAACUCUUCUAGUGUGCGAUUUCCUCGUCAUUUUCCUCUGGAGGGCAAAAUCAGAGAGAGAGAGAAGAAAGUAAGAAAAUAUCUGAUGUACUUCGUAAUGAUGUCAAUGGGUUUCAGAUCUUUGACAUAAUACAUCAAGUAAAACAAAGUUUGAGUCUAAUUUCAUAAUUCCCUUACAUUUGUGACAUUUCUAACAAAAUAGUAUUAUAACAAAAAUGUUAAU
This is a long non-coding RNA of Sebastes umbrosus (honeycomb rockfish), 485 nucleotides long. RefSeq lists it as uncharacterized. The transcript is spliced from 3 exons. The record is from RefSeq and is a predicted model, not a curated record. Lineage: Eukaryota; Metazoa; Chordata; Actinopteri; Perciformes; Sebastidae.